GGAGGGGUGCGAGCGUUGUUCGGAAUCACUGGGCGUAAAGCGCGUGUAGGGCGGCCCGUUAAGUCUGAUGUGAAAGCCCGGGGGCUCACCCCCGGAAGGGCAUUGGAAACUGGCGGACUAGAGUCUCGGAGAGGAGGGUGGAAUUCCUGGUGUAGCGGUGAAAUGCGUAGAUACCAGGAGGAACACCGGUGGCGAAGGCGGCCCUCUGGACGAUGACUGACGCUGAGACGCGAAAGCGUGGGGAGCAAACAGGAUUAGAUACCCUGGUAGUCCACGCCGUAAACGAUGAGCACUAGGUGUCGCGGGUAUUGACCCCUGCGGUGCCGCCGCUAACGCAUUAAGUGCUCCGCCUGGGGACUACGGCCGCAAGGCUA
This 374-nucleotide ribosomal RNA is filed under the name uncultured organism. Its description in RNAcentral is "partial 16S ribosomal RNA". It matches the Rfam family "Bacterial small subunit ribosomal RNA", at positions 526 to 896 of the family's 1533-position model. The record is from RNAcentral.